This 629-nucleotide ribosomal RNA is filed under the name uncultured bacterium. Its description in RNAcentral is "bacterial SSU rRNA". It matches the Rfam family "Bacterial small subunit ribosomal RNA", at positions 202 to 827 of the family's 1533-position model. The record is from RNAcentral.
CAAAGGAAGCGAUUCCGGCGGGGGAUGGGCAUGCGGCGCAUUAGCUAGUCGGCGGGGUAACGGCCCACCGAGGCGACGAUGCGUAGGGGUUCUGAGAGGAAGGUCCCCCACACUGGUACUGAGACACGGACCAGACUCCUACGGGAGGCAGCAGUGAGGAAUAUUGGUCAGUGGGCGAGAGCCUGAACCAGCCAAGUCGCGUGAGGGAAGACGGUCCUAUGGAUUGUAAACCUCUUUUGCCGGGGAGCAACGGGGUCCUUGCGAGGGCCUAAUGAGAGUACCCGGAGAAAAAGCAUCGGCUAACUCCGUGCCAGCAGCCGCGGUAAUACGGAGGAUGCGAGCGUUAUCCGGAUUUAUUGGGUUUAAAGGGUGCGUAGGCGGGCUGUUAAGUCAGCGGUCAAAUGUCGGGGCUCAACCCCGGCCUGCCGUUGAAACUGGCGGCCUCGAGUGGGCGAGAAGUAUGCGGAAUGCGUGGUGUAGCGGUGAAAUGCAUAGAUAUCACGCAGAACUCCGAUUGCGAAGGCAGCAUACCGGCGCCCUACUGACGCUGAGGCACGAAAGCGUGGGUAUCGAACAGGAUUAGAUACCCUGGUAGUCCACGCAGUAAACGAUGAAUGCUAGCUGUCCGG